AAGGUAAGGGUGUCUUGCUGGAAGUUCUUGUAUGUCUGAGGCCUUUUAAAGGUCUUUCACCUUGUGAUGCUUCAUGGGAUGCAUAAUAUCCAAAGAAAAAAGGGGUUAUCAUCAGUGAAGUCCACCCUCCUCUGAAACAAGAAAAUCCAGUGCAGUUCCACCAGUGGAGUGGGCCUGACCAAGAGGGAAAGCAUCAGAGGGAAAAUACUUGCUCAUGCAUCCAUGUGUGUCAUGAGGAGCGGGAGGACUUGACCGGGCAGCCUUGAAGCUCAGACCUUUGUUGGCAGUAAGGAGGAAGGAGCAAAUCAGCUGGCCGUGACCCCCAGAGAAGGGGACACACAGGCCUCAUACUGGGGGCAUCAGCCACUCUCCCCUUCUGCAAGCAUCCAUCAUUUUGACUCCUUUUCUGCUUGCUUCCAAAAAGCUGAAGGGUGAGGGGAAGAAAGAAGGGGAGACAGAGAAAGUAGCAGCUUCCUGUAUUGAAGAAUGAGGAGAAGAACUGAAGGUAAAGCUGCGAUAACUUUCUGCAGCCCAGUUGGUGGCCUGCAGGAUGAUGCUGCCUGACCUCCUUGCUUUUCUGCUGUGGCCUUGCCCUGGGAUGGGAGGUGAAGGGGAGUAGCCAGAUGUGAAAUCCAACAGCUGCUGAAUACUUCUACUUAGCCAUGCAAAUCAUCACUGUGCCCACAGAGAGAGGAUGAGUUUGGCAUUGCUUGAGCCUGCUGAGGUGUCCCAGACACCAGGAUCUGGCUUACAGCUUUGCUAGUACUGCAUUGUCUUGGCCUGGGUUUGUAAGACAGUGUUCGCUCUCAGUUGUGUAUGUGUGUUUUUGACAAGAUGUUGCUGUCACUUUUUCUGUUUUCUAUUAUUUGGAAAGGACAUCCAUUUUAGAGGAAGGUGAUGGCUUUUCUUUUUGAAAAGAAUAGUGUUAAUAUUCAGAAUAUAAAAGCAAACAGCGCAGAUUUCUCCAGAAGGUGAGUUUGUCUGCAGUAAUGUUUCAAAAGCACCAAAUCUCAAACAUACUUAAAUAAAGCAUGAAUCAUCGGA
Numida meleagris (helmeted guineafowl) is the source of this 1044-nucleotide long non-coding RNA. RefSeq lists it as uncharacterized. The record is from RefSeq and is a predicted model, not a curated record. The transcript is spliced from 4 exons. NCBI's taxonomy places the organism in Eukaryota, Metazoa, Chordata, Aves, Galliformes, Numididae.